GGAGGCUUAGCUCAGUUGGUAGAGCAGCUGACUCUUAAUCAGCGGGUCGGGGGUUCGAACCCCCCAGCCUCUA
RNAcentral lists this transfer RNA (73 nucleotides) under Lentisphaerota bacterium. RNAcentral describes it as "tRNA-Lys". It matches the Rfam family "tRNA". From Rfam's summary of the family: Transfer RNA (tRNA) molecules are approximately 80 nucleotides in length. Their secondary structure includes four short double-helical elements and three loops (D, anti-codon, and T loops). The record is from RNAcentral. Lineage: Bacteria; Pseudomonadati; Lentisphaerota.